Molecule: RNA transcript, 1360 nt
Organism: Dermacentor silvarum
Lineage: Eukaryota; Metazoa; Arthropoda; Arachnida; Ixodida; Ixodidae
Exons: 3
Source: RefSeq, a predicted model, not a curated record
CGCACAGAGCGCACAUUUUGCAGCACUAUCUAAAAAUAAGCAUUCACUCUUGUAUAGAGCGAUACAGAAGGCCCACUAAUGCAACCAUCUCCCUUCUUAAUAUGAAAGGCUUUAAGAACUUCCCGUGCUAAUGUGUGGUACGCAGCCACAUGAAGCACAAUGGAACGGCAGGUGUGAACGCACAUAAUUCUUAACCAAUAAUGUGCGUUCCCUUAGGCGGUCAUUAACACUGCGGCCGGUUUGAAAUUCCGUUGAGCUACGGCAUCAUUUUUGCCAAACUGGCUGCUUUCUUCUUUUUUCUUUUUUUAGCUGGUUAUUAUUUCUCCUCUGCUUGGGGCCGCCGUGUGCCCCGAUUACAGCCUCACGUCCCCUAUUUCGAAAGUGCUUAGUUCGUUGUUUUCAGUAGUUGCGAUGCCUAGCAAAUCUGCUCUGCGAAGCAUCAGGUUACACCGGUGUCACACGACUACAGUGUACUCUACACACGACUACUUUUGAUCGCGAUCAAGGCCAAUCCGGAUUGAAAUUCGCCACUGCGAUUGGCUCCCUUGCACAGCGUGCGCAAAGGAUCCAAUCACGACUGAGAAAUACGAUCCGGAUCAAGUUGAUCGCAAUCAAAAGUGCGCCACGUGACACCCGUUUCUGCUUAUGAAAAUGCAAUCAAUAUUUUUUCUUUAUACUGCAGCAGUAGCAAGCAAAUAUUGUAUGGUUAGCACUGUUAGCAGACAGCGAAAGUUGUCUGCUGAUACUCUACAGCUCAUGCAUGCGUUCUGUACAUGCGUGCAUGAAACUUCGUAACCGCGGACAUUCGCGAUGUCCCGAGUAGUAUUUUCAAGUUUCGUGCGGCGGGCUUACAAGUUGGUCUCUUUGCUAUGAGAGCGUUUACUGCUAUAAGAAAUUGCGGAACAUUUCCUUUUAAAGGAAGUGAGUACAUUGUAAGGUGAAUUUGGUCUUUUCUGCCCAUUCCAUGUUUUUAGGCAUUUGUCAAACGAAGCACUUAAAACAAGUGGUGAAAAAAGUUUGUUCACUAUUCUUCAAAAAAAAUUUCCGGAGGCGGAAGACAUACAAGUGAAGGGUAUUUCAGGUGGUUGAGGUGCAAUGUACGAAGUGUACGUCCAGUUGACUGUAUUUAAGAAUCUAUCUAGGGUACAGCAACAUAGGUUGGUUAACGAGGCCUUGAAAGCGGAGAUACAAGACGUGCAUGGGAUCAGAAUCACUACAGCUCUUCCCGGCAAAGAAUAGAGGUGUACAUUUUUUAAGUAGGUUAUGUGUAAUUUUUGUUUGAAGAAAUGCGGUAAAGAUAUUUGUGUACAGCAACACCUGCCAUGUAAUUUUAGAAAAAUAAAUGGCUUCUUCGUCUGUA